Molecule: unclassified non-coding RNA, 352 nt
Filed under: soil metagenome
Description: partial contains 5.8S ribosomal RNA, internal transcribed spacer 2, and large subunit ribosomal RNA
Rfam family: 5.8S ribosomal RNA (bases 1-120)
Source: RNAcentral
GAUGAAGAACGUAGCGAAAUGCGAUAAGUAAUGUGAAUUGCAGAAUUCAGUGAAUCAUCGAAUCUUUGAACGCACAUUGCGCCCGCCAGUAUUCUGGCGGGCAUGCCUGUUCGAGCGUCAUUACAACCCUCAGGCCCCCGGGCCUGGCGUUGGGGAUCGGCGGAGCCCCCCGUGGGCACACGCCGUCCCCGAAAUACAGUGGCGGUCCCGCCGCAGCUUCCAUCGCGUAGUAGCUAACACCUCGCGACUGGAGAGCGGCGCGGCCACGCCGUAAAACACCCAACUCUUCUGAAGUUGACCUCGAAUCAGGUAGGAAUACCCGCUGAACUUAAGCAUAUCAAUAAGCGGAGGA